This 253-nucleotide ribosomal RNA is filed under the name uncultured bacterium. Its description in RNAcentral is "partial 16S ribosomal RNA". It matches the Rfam family "Bacterial small subunit ribosomal RNA", at positions 524 to 776 of the family's 1533-position model. The record is from RNAcentral.
UACGGGGGGGGCAAGCGUUGUUCGGAAUUACUGGGCGUAAAGGGCUCGUAGGCGGCCAACUAAGUCAGACGUGAAAUCCCGCGGCUUAACCGGGGAACUGCAUCUGAUACUGGAUGGCUUGAGUUCGGGAGAGGGAUGCGGAAUUCCAGGUGUAGCGGUGAAAUGCGUAGAUAUCUGGAGGAACACCGGUGGCGAAGGCGGCAUCCUGGACCGACACUGACGCUGAGGAGCGAAAGCCAGGGGAGCAAACGGG